GCUGGGCAUGGUGGCGCAUGCCUGUAAUCCCAGCUACUUGGGAGGCUGAGGCAGGAGAAUUGAUUGAAUCCAGGGGGUGGAGGCUGCAAUGAGCUGAGAUCGCACCACUGCACUGCAGCCUGGGUGACAAAGCAAGACUCAGCCUCGA
Unclassified non-coding RNA from Macaca fascicularis (crab-eating macaque), 148 nucleotides. It matches the Rfam family "Metazoan signal recognition particle RNA". From Rfam's summary of the family: The signal recognition particle (SRP) is a universally conserved ribonucleoprotein. The record is from Ensembl. Lineage: Eukaryota; Metazoa; Chordata; Mammalia; Primates; Cercopithecidae.